Non-coding RNA from Pelobates cultripes (western spadefoot toad), 454 nucleotides. Lineage: Eukaryota; Metazoa; Chordata; Amphibia; Anura; Pelobatidae. The record is from the annotation of a GenBank genome assembly.
GUUAUGUCUCAAGUUCCUGGUAUUCCUGAGAAGCAGUCCCUUCUCAGCACUCCCGCUAGGUCCGGUACUCCCGCCCAAGGAGCUGAUGUCACUAGUCCAUCUUCCCUGAGGUCAUGGACUAUCCCACGCCUCACAGCUGAACUACGAAGGAGAUGCAUUCCUUUCCCAGCUACUGCUAGGAAAGCGGAGUUGUUUAGACUUUUGAACACUAACAACUCUGAUGCAGGGAAAGGUCCAAGUGGGUCUCAGUUGCCGGCUCUUUAUGCCAUGAUGACGUCUUUAAUGUCAUCCAUUGCCACUAUUAGCGACAGACUGGAGAAAUCGGAAGCAGUAUGUUCUCCCCAGGUUCCUGCAAACUCAGUUACUGAUAAUGCAGGAAUGGCUGUCAUGUCCGGUAAUACUCUUGCAUCAAUUAAAGUCCCUGAAAGUAUCAACCCCUAGCACAUGGUCCCAG